CAGUAGCCGCGGGAAUACGUAGGGUGCGAGCGUUAAUCGGAAUUACUGGGCGUAAAGCGUGCGCAGGCGGUUCGUUAAGACAGAUGUGAAAUCCCCGGGCUUAACCUGGGAACUGCAUUUGUGACUGGCGAGCUAGAGUAUGGCAGAGGGGGGUAGAAUUCCACGUGUAGCAGUGAAAUGCGUAGAGACGUGGAGGAAUACCGAUGGCGAAGGCAGCCCCCUGGGCCAAUACUGACGCUCAUGCACGAAAGCGUGGGGAGCAAACAGGAUUAGAUACCCCUGUAGUCCCUGUCUCUUAUAC
RNAcentral lists this ribosomal RNA (301 nucleotides) under uncultured bacterium. Its description in RNAcentral is "partial 16S ribosomal RNA". It matches the Rfam family "Bacterial small subunit ribosomal RNA", at positions 509 to 807 of the family's 1533-position model. The record is from RNAcentral.